This is a long non-coding RNA of Tigriopus californicus, 1737 nucleotides long. RefSeq lists it as uncharacterized. The transcript has 3 exons. The record is from RefSeq and is a predicted model, not a curated record. NCBI's taxonomy places the organism in Eukaryota, Metazoa, Arthropoda, Copepoda, Harpacticoida, Harpacticidae.
CGACGUUUCUCAAGCAAGUUUCGGUACUCUUUUUUUUUCCAACCCAAGUCAGGUUUGGUUCUCUUUAGCUUGUCUUCUGAAUCGAUCUCCCUGCUCCCUCUGCUCUUUCUUCGCCUUCGCCUUUGCCUUCGCCCCAACUACUUCGGAGAUUGUACAGUUACAUUCCGGACCAAAGGCACGACUUGGUCUCGAACUUCUUGGAAAGAGAGAAAGAGAGAGAGAGAGAGAGAACAUGGAGGUGGUUGUUGUUAGUACAUGUUGGUUCAUAUAUGAGUGGAGGUAGAGUACCUGGCCCUGCCUGACGGGUUCAGGGGAUAGAAGCCGGCAACGGGCAACAGGCAACAACAACAACAACGCCGACGUCGUCGUCAUCAUCAUCAUCAUCAUCACUAUCAUUGCCAUGGACUGUUGGUGCCCAGGUCUUGUGUGUCUCUCCCUUUCUUUGGCUUUGUUGCCUGGGUUUGGGCCUGAGGCUUCUUUGAAUAAGUCUCCCCGCUUUUCGGCCAGGUUUCGUCUCCGACUCUGUCUUUCGUUCGUUCGAUCGUUCUUUCUUUAUGAUGAUAAGCUUUGGAGAGUUCAAGAACACCUUAUCUCAUCCCAGUCAUUGACAACUCCUCCGAGGACCGGGCCAGACGUCAACCAGAAAGAGUAGUGUGGCUUUGGUGCUUUGGUGUCAAUAGUUUGAUCGUGGGCAGAUCUUAUUAAUGGAAUACAUGCAAGAAUAUUACAAGUACAACAAACGCCAUCAGCACCACCUUCUUCUUCUUCAUCAUCAUCAUCAUCAUCCAAACCUCCUGAUUGGCCACCUUCGAAACGAGAUCAACCAGCUGUAAAAAUCAACCUCGUUCGAACUCGCCGUUGUCGGAGAGCUCAAGAGCUGCAGCUAGACGAGGAUCGUUGUCCUCUUGCUGGACAGAGGAUGGGCGAUCGACAAUGUCACAAAGCUCGCUUCGACCCUCGCAUGAAUGGAGAAAUACAAGGUUGCUGAAGUUGUCUUGAAAGGACAGGAAACUGAGAUUCUUUUCGGCCCCAUUCAUCUUGGACCUCGUUGAUGUUUUUUCCGAGGAUAUGCCACCAUUUUCUUGCCUUUCAACGCCUUUGGAAUUCGUUCUUCCAAUACGGAUGUCUCCAAUUUCAUGAGGAAGUUCAUCUUUUAAUGCAUGAUGGGGCUUCCUUGGUGGGAUUUGUUCUCAAAAGGGGCAACAAAACAAAGAAAGAAAGAACGAACGAACGAACGAACGAGAAGAAAGAGGCAGUAACAACUCCACAUGGCCAGACAUCCACAUGCAUGGGAAAACGAGGUCUUUGUUCUAAGUCAUAUCCGAGAAGGGGUUCCAUGCUGAUUCGCAUUAUGAACUUCGAUUAGAUUUCUCUCCUCAAUGCUCCUUCUCUCUCUCUUUCUCCCUGUCUGUACUCUCCUCCCUUCAUGGGUUACAAGAACAUGGAGAACCAACUAACAACAAACCAACCAACCAACCAACCAACCAACCAACCAACGAGUGGGUAGUGUACAGUAGUGGUGGUUGCGAGAUUGGACAAAGACGGGGGCUUCUGGAGAAAUGAAUUGGGCCUGGGCUUGCCUUUUGAUCGGCCUCUGGAAUUUAUUAAUUUACCUUUGAACAUUCCAACGCGGGAUCUCAUUGGACACAUCCACUAAAUCUCGGGGCCUGAGCAAGAGUGCUGCAAGACCAAUUUGGAUGGGGUAGUAAAGUUUUGUACCCAAAGAAGUAGGACACG